AGACACGGCCCAGACUCCUACGGGAGGCAGCAGUAGGGAAUCUUCCACAAUGGGCGAAAGCCUGAUGGAGCAACGCCGCGUGAGUGAAGAAGGUUUUCGGAUCGUAAAACUCUGUUGUAAGGGAAGAACAAGUACAGUAGUAACUGGUUGUACCUUGACGGUACCUUAUUAGAAAGCCACGGCUAACUACGUGCCAGCAGCCGCGGUAAUACGUAGGUGGCAAGCGUUGUCCGGAAUUAUUGGGCGUAAAGCGCGCGCAGGUGGUCCUUUAAGUCUGAUGUGAAAGCCCACGGCUCAACCGUGGAGGGUCAUUGGAAACUGGGGGACUUGAGUGCAGAAGAGGAAAGUGGAAUUCCAAGUGUAGCGGUGAAAUGCGUAGAGAUUUGGAGGAACACCAGUGGCGAAGGCGACUUUCUGGUCUGUAACUGACACUGAGGCGCGAAAGCGUGGGGAGCAAACAGGAUUAGAUACCCUGGUAGUCCACGCCGUAAAC
RNAcentral lists this ribosomal RNA (493 nucleotides) under uncultured bacterium. Its description in RNAcentral is "bacterial SSU rRNA". It matches the Rfam family "Bacterial small subunit ribosomal RNA", at positions 322 to 807 of the family's 1533-position model. The record is from RNAcentral.